This is a long non-coding RNA of Onychomys torridus (southern grasshopper mouse), 2449 nucleotides long. RefSeq lists it as uncharacterized. NCBI's taxonomy places the organism in Eukaryota, Metazoa, Chordata, Mammalia, Rodentia, Cricetidae. The record is from RefSeq and is a predicted model, not a curated record. The transcript is spliced from 3 exons.
AAUUCACCCUGCUGCCGAACUCCUACCCUGAGAGAAAAUCUGAGAAGCUGAGAGGUCAGACAGAACUUACUGGUUGGAGUUGUGGUCCUCGGCUGAUGGGCCUGCGAGAGAGAAACACCCAGACACAAAGGAACCCAUGGGGACAUGUGUGACUGUUGCUUUCAGUCACAAUGUUUCAUCACGAGGAGAGUAACCCUAGUGAAGACAGCACCUAUGCUGCCAAGUGAUUAUUGUUUCUUCCACGUCGAGGUACAGAAGCUACAAAUGAAGAAGCCUUCCAUCCAUCUUUUCUGGGCUGCCCACUGGCUCUGAUCUGUUAUCUUCCCUGACAUCUUUCCUGGGGCUUCUGUGGUAGAGAUCACAACAUUUGCAAACCACCUUAGCUCUUGACCUAACUUUGUCUGCAACAUAAAAACCUUCUAUAUGCCCCAGAAAGUUGGGUUGGAGAUACAUCGAAUUCUUUUACAUACAUGAUCUACAGCAUUUUAUCAAAAUGUACAGUCACAAGAGCCUAAAGCGGCACCCCCUAUUGAGAGACCGACACAUUUCUCCAGAACAAUCCAGCCAGAGACACUCCAGGAACAUACCUACCUCUCUUCUAGGAAUGCUUGCUCUAAAAAAUCUCCUUUCUUUGGGAGCACUCUUCUCCCAGUGACACAGCCCCAGAGACAUCCUUCUCUUAGGGGCACCCCUCUUUAGAGGCACCCCUCUUCAAGAUACAGAGAGUCUAAAUGUGGCAGUCACAGCCUUUGUAGAUGCUUUCAGCUAUAUUAACCCUUUAAGUCUCAUAGCUAUGCAGUGCACAGUGUAUCACUAUCCCUAUUUUGAAAACAAAAUCAAACCAAGUUUCAGAAUGAAUCAAUAGGCCAGGUAAAACCUUGUACUUCUGAGACUUGUGUACUUUCCAUUUUCUCACCAUGACCCAAGUCACUCACUACAUAUUCCACAGGGAAACACAACUACAGAACUGAAAUGUGCCGGUUCUGAACUUGUCCCUCCAAAGGAUCCUAAAACUCUGCUUCAAGCACAUGGCAGACUGUUGGAAAAGAGAGACUUACUGGAAAGCUGCAAUGUGAACAGAAUUUGAAAGAGAAAGCACUGACAUGUGCACACACCUCUAAAGUACUUGUGCUCAUUUAACCUUCCCGCACCACCAUCUCCAGGUAGAUAUACAGAAAACACAUUUCAAAACUAAACUCCUACAACUUACAAGGUGUAGCUUUCCCUUCCUGCUGGCAGGGAUGCUAAACGGCAGACAGGGGAAGUAAGGUCGCAGGAAACCUAGGUGAAAUGACGGAUAUCCGUAAGGAGACGCACAACGCCAGAUGGCAGCUAUGGAGCACGUACCCUGCCUAAGCUGUCAUUUUAGCUCAAGAUGGAUGUCCGUGGUAAACAGAGAGUAAAUGCCUUGUCAGUGUGAGACUAAAGACUCUCACCCCAGCCACUGUCUACAGUGCAGCAGUGUCAGAGCAAAUGUCUACUCAUUACAACUAUUGGCUCGGUCUCCACUCACAUCUAGUAGCCCAGGAAAGGCCCACAGCUUGCCAAUUUGACAAAUCACUAGGGUAUAACUGGCAUUCUCUUGAAUCCCAAAUUUCCAUUUACGCAAUCAUUUGCUCAUAUCCACAGAAACUUGCCAAAUUCAUUUAAAAUAUACCCACCACAUAGAUUUCCCAAAGAGCGAUUACCACCCAAAAAACAAAAAACAAAACAACAAUAACAACAAAAACCCACAGCCAUGAAGUGAAUGAGAACGGCACAGCUACCUUCCCCAGUAGGCAAUCUCUUGAGGGCCUUUCCUGUAGACAGAGUUGGUAGAAUCAUGUAGUCCAUUGCUGAUCUCGGUAGAAUAGCCCAUCACUAUCCCACCAUCUGCUGACACACUCAGGACAUCCUGAUGUCCUCCCACAGAGGUCCUCUCCAAGAACUGACCACCUUCUUUAAUGCGCUGCUGUAUCAUUGGCGUAAGCGGCAUUUCAAAGCUAAAAUAGCUAUCAGGUUCUGAGUACAGUGUCUCUAAUGACUCUGCACUGUAGUAUAAGGAAGUGUUGUCCAAAAUGGUUUCAAAUUGGCUGCUGUAUACAUCAGUGGAGUCCUCCGUAUAUCCGGGCCCAAGAAUAUCAUCAUCUCCUCCCCUAAGGUGCUCCUCUUGUUCGAGAAACCUGGAAAAUUAGUAAAAGUGAACAUUUUCAAUAUUAACUUUUUUCUUUUCACUUUCCUGCUUUCAACCAACCAUAGAGAAAAGACUGUGUUGUAUAAAUGUAACUGUUCUAUCCACCAAACUCACGGCUUAGGAACAUAUUUGGGAAGAAAGGUAUGAAACUUACUUAGGUUAAAAUAUUCUCUCUAUAUUAUUUUGUGAGUGUUUUGCCUGAAUGUAUGUAUGUGCCUCAUGAAUUUCUGGAGCCCACAGAAGUUAGAAGAGGAUAUCAGAUCCUCUGAAAUUGGA